UACGUAGGGUGCAGGCGUUAAUCGGAAUUACUGGGCGUAAAGCGUGCGUAGCCGGUUAUGUAAGUCGGGUGUGAAAGCCCCGGGCUCAACCUGGGAAUGCCAUUCGAGACUGCAUAGCUAGGGUGCGGAAGAGGGAAGCGGAAUUUCCGGUGUAGCGGUGAAAUGCGUAGAUAUCUGGAGGAAUACCGGUGGCGAAGGCGGCAUCCUGGACCGACAUUGACGCUGAUGAGCGAAAGCUAGGGGAGCAAACGGG
Molecule: ribosomal RNA, 253 nt
Filed under: uncultured bacterium
Lineage: Bacteria
Description: partial 16S ribosomal RNA
Rfam family: Bacterial small subunit ribosomal RNA
Source: RNAcentral